Non-coding RNA from Macaca mulatta (Rhesus monkey), 696 nucleotides. The record is from RefSeq and is a predicted model, not a curated record. NCBI's taxonomy places the organism in Eukaryota, Metazoa, Chordata, Mammalia, Primates, Cercopithecidae.
CAGCUUCCCUGCUGGACUAACUGCAUUACUUGCCACAUCGUAUGGAAUGUGUUGUUCAGUGCCAGGCCUGUUUAGUUUUGUACACCUGACCAAAGAGUUGGGCAGGGUUUUGGGGUUGGGGGAAACUGAAUAUUACAAUCCACCUCUUAAUGGCCAUGAUGCCUUUACCGAAAUAGAAGAAGUAGCCUCUCUUUUCCUCCAGGGAUCCUCAUUUUGGGUCUGCUUUGGGUGAUUGGCUCAUAAUGGAUGCCCUUCGCCAUUCUUUUGGAAAUAUCUAGUGGUGAUUUUUUUUUUUUAACUUUUCUAGAAGUGUGAGAAGCCAAGAAGGAAAUGACUACCUCUAGAAGGCCUUUCUUGAACUCUUUGACGGAGCUACAAUGGAGAUGAUGUGGUCCACCUUAUAGGAUUAUGAUCAACUCACUCUCUCUGGAUAAGUCCUUCCUCAGCCUCCCUCGCAUCAAUUCAGCAUCAGCAAGGUGCAGAACUCGUCUGCUGCCUAGAGAUUGCCUCAGAGGUCUUGCAAGGGGAGAAAUGUCCACCCAUGGAAACCGCCUACACACGGCCCUCCACCUUAUCUUUCUGUCUUGUGAUGACCUUGUUGGAGAUGGCAGCACCAAAGAUGGUUAGAGCCUGGAUGCCUGCAUGACUGCACGGAGCAGAGCCCUCUCACUCCACCACUGGUGCCCCCUAAUGGAC